This is a small nuclear RNA of Marmota flaviventris (yellow-bellied marmot), 139 nucleotides long. RefSeq annotates it as U4 spliceosomal RNA. The record is from RefSeq and is a predicted model, not a curated record. NCBI's taxonomy places the organism in Eukaryota, Metazoa, Chordata, Mammalia, Rodentia, Sciuridae.
AGCUUUGCGCAGUGGCAGUAUCGUAGCCAAUGAGGUUUAUCCGAGGCGCGAUUAUUGCUAAUUGAAAACUUUUCAUUCAAGUGUUUUUGCAUAGAGCAAUAGUUUGUUCUUUUUAUUGUUGUAUAGUAUUCCCUGAUAU